ACAGUGUGUCAGAACAAACACGGUUGCUGCGCUAAAGGCCACCUCAGGACAUUUUUUCUUCAUUUUUGCAUUGGUUCUAAUAUCAUAUUCGACAUGGAUGGCUGCUUUGGACUCAUCUUCAUCUGCCGGCUGAAAGGGAAAAACAGUGGAAGGGCUUUUAAUGAGAUCAGCACAGAACGAUGACCCACCCGGAACUCCCCCUCCCUGCGCUAAUGAGGGACCAGACAAUCUACGACUCAUAGACCUCCUAUGAUGUCUGAAAUCUUUGUCCUCAAUUUCCCAUCACAUCCAUUGCAAUCUGUACCAGCACUAGGAGAGGGUGUGAUAACACACAGUGGUUGAGGACUGCAGGGCUGGCUGUGAGUGUGUGCGGGGUUGUGGCUCGGUUCGUAUGAAGUAAGGGCAAGCCCAAGACACCAGUGUGACAUUCCUUCAAAGGCCUCAUCAGAACAUCUCCCGACAAAGGAAAGUGUAGCUCAAGGCUCGAGGGGAUUAGCAGGGCCUGGGUCAUUAGGCCUCACCCAAAUAGCCCUGAGGAGAAGCUGCUGGAUCUAUCGCAUGAAACACAUACAACAUCCUCACAGCCGUAUGAAACCUUGGCAAAAUAUGGACUGCUGGCCACAUCUAGCACAUCCGCAUUCUCUAACCAGCUCAUCAGCUUUCAGUAAGUCAACUGUGGCGUAAAGCGAUUAAAAGCUUGUUGAAUCAUAUUGAUGACAACCAGUCACUGGUGGAGUACCAAUGAUCAAUAUUAAAAAACAUUGAUCAGUCGAGGAAAAGAAAUACAACACAGUAAUCAAUGUCCAUAGGUCACUGAGGUUGAAUGAAGACAGAUGGCUUGAAGCAGGAUUGUGACAGGCUGGAUUAAAACCUAUUUGGAUUCAUUAUCAUUUAAAUAUAAAUCUAUGAAAGUCCUGUAUAGAUUAAUCAUCACUUGAACAAAUCAGCAAAAUAACUUUUGCGGUGAGUUGUUUAUUCAUUUGCAAUUGAGCGAAUAAAACGUCCCAUGCCACGAGGUAAUUACUUUUUACAGGCUCUUAUUAAAGCAGUCUCCCAACUCCUAGCAAUAUGGACAAUUGUUUCUACAUCAUUAGUGAAAUUAACAUCAUGUUUAUAAAGCCAAUUGUGUAUUGAAUCAUUUCAAUACUAAGUCACUCACAUGAGGGAUGUGAUUGUUUGCAAUACAGACAGAUAAUAAGCUCUUAUCAGUGGAUAGGAAUAAAGUUUGAAGUAAAUUUUAUCACUAUGAAAUAGUAUAUUUGUCAAUCUAUGGAUGUAACAGAAUUAUAGAAAGGGUUAUUCUCAUACUAUGGGAUGAUAAACGUUUUUUUUUUACCCUUAAAAGGCCAUGAGGAUAAAUGUUUUUGUCAUUCAUGAAGCACAGCAAAAUGUGGGUAGUUGAGAAAAUGCAUUAGUCACAAAAGCACUGAAAGCUGUGCUACGCUUUGUAUACCAGAGUGACACGUUGACAUUUGAACAUAAUGGUGCCAAUAAUGCAUUCAUCUGUUCUCCAUUUAUGAAGCAGUAGUCAGAAGUGACAGCAGUGAUAAGAUAAUUCAGAAACUAUCACAGUACUUCUCCAUUCAUAGAGAACAUGUAUUUAUCACACUAUGAAUACCGGAUGUGGUAUUUCUCUGUGGAAGUUCAACAUCUUCAAAUAUUAGAUAUAAUAAGAAAUCUGUUUCUCAAUGAUGUAUCUAAUGACACAUUUUCACAUCCCUUGUGUUAAUUUUCAUGCCAAUCCUUAAAAUACAUUUCUGAGUUGUUGUUGUAUUUUUUUGUCAUGGUUUAAAAAUGAUGCUGGAAUACCACAGAUCUUUUCAUCAGAUUUCCAAUUCUCCACCACGGCUAUAACACUCUUUUCCUCUUUACAGUCACUGAUAAAUCAUUUACACUGUGUAUGGAUGUACAAGCUUUUAGGGCGUUGCAGCUUCUGAGCCACAAUGCCCAAGAGCGAAGGAAGGAGUGGGUGAAGCUCUGUUUGUGGGAAGGGUGGGGGGGCGCGGCAUUUUACAAAAGAGCAGGCAAGCGAGGCGAAAAUGUAGCUCUCACCAAAGGUCACUCCAACCCAAAGGGUCUCUUGUGAUAUUUUCAUUACUGAGGUGAGAACGCCCACUUGGCUUCGCUCAUGUUACUGUGUAUGUGCACCAUCUACCAGUGGUAUGAUUAUGAACAGAAAUGUAUUUUGGAAUGAGGAGAGAUCUGUUACGCAGAGAGAGAGUAAGAUAUUAGCACAAAAUAUUGAUAUAAUUUGAGGAAGAACAAGAGUGGAAGACAAAGUGAAGACAAAAUAUCAGAAAGAAAGGGAGAAAAGCAGAUUAUAAGUGAUGAAAAGAUAGAGAUUGAAACAAAGAAGAGGAACGGAGAAAGUAGUGACUUCAUUACAUGGAUGUGUCCUAGUAAAGCAGGGGAAUCAGAUAGGCUCUGAUUGUUUUUUCUUAGAUACACUUAUCUCACCCAUCUCCAAACAGUGCUGUAAUUGGAUUCCCCUGGGAAGAUCAGAAAAAAGUUCGAUUAACUGUUGUCCUUUUGUCCCCAAACAUCAGGGGUAGUAGUAGGACGAUCCUAUUAUUAUUAUUAUUAUUGUAAACAACCAUAUUCCAAAACAUCUUUUAUGGUUAUCGCUUACAAUGUCAAUAAAAUUAGAUACUUUUAUUCUGUUUAAGUAAUGGCUACUUUGCAGAAUAUUAAAUGCUUAAAAUACUGAAAUGUUGUUUCACGUGAAUAUUUAUUUUUGUAUUAACGCUUUUUGGAAUUUCUUAAAGCAAAUUUUGCAAAAAUGGAAUCUGAGGUUGUUUUUCCACUCUUCGGCAAUUUAAUACAACAGGAAGCACAAGUGCCAAAAAACAUUGCUGCAUGCUUGAAUACCAACGAGGAGGAUUUCUCAUAACUCUGAAGCAAUUAGUGUCAUAGGAGGUGUGUGAAAUUGUAAAAAAUUAAAAAUACCAAAGCUGACUGCAAAUGAAUUCUUCCUUUGAAAUUCCAUAGAAAAUCCCCUGAAAAUAGGAAUCCUUAAUUGCAAGCGUAAACUCUUUACACGGGUGGUGAGGAAAAUAUAAACCAGGCCGAGCAAAACAAUUUUGCUGGAAUAAUUUCAUUUAGAAAUCUUUCAUCUGUUCUUUUCCCCAUCCUCCGCUUUGGGGCAGAGAGGCAAAUAAGUGAAGAGGAUGCAUGACAUUUUUUCUUAAGAAUCCUUGAUGUUUUUUUCCCCCCAAAAAAGCAACAUUAUGAGGAUUUUUUUUUCCAUGGUAUUGAUCUCCUGAGCUAGGAGCCUCACUCUCUUUCUUUUCUUCUCUCUCUAUGCCUCCGUAUCUCAACAAAUUGGACCACAACCAUGAUUUCUUUCUAUGGUCUGCUCACAUCUCUGCUUCUGUUAACAUCACGGUUCAUUGCUUGUCCACCAAGGUUUUGUAGUAUGCAUUGCAUGUUAAUCCUAUGUCGCCUUAGAAUAGAUAGAUAGAUAGAUAGAUAGAUAGAUAGAUAGAUAGAUAGAUAGAUAGAUAGAUAGAUAGAUAGAUAGAUAGAUAGAUAGAUAGAUAGAUAGAUAGAUAGAUAGAUAGAUAGAUAGAUAGAUAGAUAGAUAGAUAGAUAGAUAGAUAGAUAGAUAGAUAGAUAGAUAGAUAGAUUGAUAGAUUGAUAGAUUGAUAGAUAGAUAGAUAGAUAGAUAGAUAGAUAGAUAGAUAGAUAGAUAGAUAGAUAGGUAGGUAGGUAGGUAGGUAGGUAGGUAGGUAGGUAGGUAGGUAGGUAGGUAGGUAGGUAGGUAGGUAGGUAGGUAGGUAGGUAGGUAGGUAGGUAGGUAGGUAGGUAGGUAGGUAGGUAGGUAGGUAGGUAGGUAGGUAGGUAGAUAGAUAGAUAGAUAGAUAGAUAGAUAGAUAGAUAGAUAGAUAGAUAGAUAGAUAGAUAGAUAGAUAGAUAGAUAGAUAGAUAGAUAGAUAGAUAGAUAGAUAGAUAGAUAGAUAGAUAGA
Molecule: long non-coding RNA, 3965 nt
Organism: Syngnathus typhle (broad-nosed pipefish)
Lineage: Eukaryota; Metazoa; Chordata; Actinopteri; Syngnathiformes; Syngnathidae
Exons: 4
Source: RefSeq, a predicted model, not a curated record